GUUUCAUUCUCCUCUCUCUAGACUUGUGUGUGCGUGCGCGUGACUCCAGAUUCUAUAUGGGUUUCCUUUUUCUCUCUCUAGUCUCUACAGAGAAUUGGGGAUUUGAGGGCACGGAUUGAGAUUAAAUUAGAAACCAUGACAAGAAGAAAAAGUCUGUUGACCUCUUCUCUCCUAUUAUUCCACUGGCUAUCCUUUACUGUUAACUCCACUUCCUCUGACACGUGGAUGUCGGCAGAGCUUGACCCGUGGGGUUUUUAAUAGCUUUUGGGACCCUACCCUCCCGCCAACUGCGCGCGCGUGUUGAUGAUGGGUCUGAGAGACGAACACGAAAUUCAAGGACAGCUAAAUGAGGAUGAAGUAGGAGAUAAAUAAGAGUUCACACCCUUUUAAAUUUGUUGUUGAAGAUUACUUCUUUGAAUU
RNAcentral lists this unclassified non-coding RNA (420 nucleotides) under Hevea brasiliensis (rubber tree). The record is from RNAcentral. Lineage: Eukaryota; Viridiplantae; Streptophyta; Magnoliopsida; Malpighiales; Euphorbiaceae.